GUUUAUUUGUAUGGACUUGAAAAGUUGUAGUUUUUGGGCUUUAGGCUGACUAUCCACAAGAUUUAUAACAAUUUAAUUGUGCUGCACAGGUCUGACAUUUUUGUGCACUGUACAAACUUUGGAUUUGUUCCUUUCUAAUUAGUUUAUUAUUCAUUUCAACGUUUGGAUUUUUGGCAACUUAUCUAAAUCAAAGUUGGAUUCAUUUCUUU
RNAcentral lists this unclassified non-coding RNA (209 nucleotides) under Hevea brasiliensis (rubber tree). Lineage: Eukaryota; Viridiplantae; Streptophyta; Magnoliopsida; Malpighiales; Euphorbiaceae. The record is from RNAcentral.